AACAUGGUGGACGCUGUCCCCGCUAAGUGCCAUCCAACUGAAAGACAGGCUUGUAAAAAUAUUAUGCUGUGUCCUCAGCCACCUUAGUCACUGGGUCUGGCAGCGUGCAACUUCUGGCUCUUCCCAAAGUGAAAAUGACCAUGGAAGGGAAAUGUUUUAAAUGGAUUCAGGACAUUGAGGCAGUCAGGAUAAAACAACUAGAUACUCAAAAGAGGACUUCUAAAGCUGCUUCAGAAAAUGGAAUCCACAGGCCUCUCCUAGACACAACUGUGAUGCUGCUGAUUGUCAGGAACACCCAAGAGGCAUGACAUCAACAAACAACAGCUGGAGGUCAGGCUGGCAAAUUGCACCUUGGGGUGCGGGCCUCAUGAGCCCUUUCUGGCUUGGACCUUGUUGCCACAGCUUAGUCUCUUGCCUGCCUCAUUUCUCCGCCUCCCCUC
RNAcentral lists this long non-coding RNA (440 nucleotides) under Chinchilla lanigera (long-tailed chinchilla). RNAcentral describes it as "lncRNA (ENSCLAG00000027641.1)". Lineage: Eukaryota; Metazoa; Chordata; Mammalia; Rodentia; Chinchillidae. The record is from RNAcentral.